CCCUUAGAUGUUCUGGGCGGCCCGCGCACUACAAUGGCGUGUGCAGCGAGUGCCGAAGUAGAGUUUUCCGAGGUAUUCUUGCAAUGCUCGUUUUGAUGGGGAUAGACCCUUGCAACUGUUGGUUUUGAACGAGGAAUUCCUUGUAAGCAUGGUUUAUCAUCCGACGCUGAAUGCGUCCCUGCCCUUUGUACACACCGCCCGUCGCUCCUACCGAUGAGUCGUCCGGUGAAGCCUCGGGAUUGUGGUUCUUGCCGCUUUAUUGUGGCGUGACCGCGAGAACUUGUCUAAACCUUAUCAUCUAGAGGAAGGUGAAGUCGUAACA
This 322-nucleotide ribosomal RNA is filed under the name uncultured eukaryote. RNAcentral describes it as "partial 18S ribosomal RNA". It matches the Rfam family "Eukaryotic small subunit ribosomal RNA", at positions 1470 to 1796 of the family's 1831-position model. The record is from RNAcentral.